This 305-nucleotide ribosomal RNA is filed under the name uncultured bacterium. Its description in RNAcentral is "bacterial SSU rRNA". It matches the Rfam family "Bacterial small subunit ribosomal RNA", at positions 333 to 630 of the family's 1533-position model. The record is from RNAcentral.
UGUAUCCUACGGGAGGCAGCAGUGGGGAAUAUUGCACAAUGGGGGAAACCCUGAUGCAGCGACGCCGCGUGAACGAGGAAGGUCUUCGGAUCGUAAAGUUCUGUUGAAGGGGAAAAAGAGCGGAGAGAGGAAAUGGUCUCCGAUUGAUAUUACCCUUCGAGGAAGUCACGGCUAACUACGUGCCAGCAGCCGCGGUAAUACGUAGGGGGCAAGCGUUAUCCGGAUUUACUGGGUGUAAAGGGAGCGUAGACGGUCCUGCAAGCCAGAUGUGAAAGCCCGGGGCGCAACCCCGGUACUGCAUUUGG